This 253-nucleotide ribosomal RNA is filed under the name uncultured bacterium. Its description in RNAcentral is "partial 16S ribosomal RNA". It matches the Rfam family "Bacterial small subunit ribosomal RNA", at positions 524 to 776 of the family's 1533-position model. The record is from RNAcentral.
UACGUAGGGAGCAAGCGUUGUCCGGAAUCAUUGGGCGUAAAGCGCGCGUAGGUGGCCUCAUAAGUCCGCUGUGAAAGUCAAAGGCUCAACCUUUGAAAGCCGGUGGAUACUGUGGGGCUAGAGUACGGAAGAGGCGAGUGGAAUUCCUGGUGUAGCGGUGGAACGCGCAGAUAUCAGGAGGAACACCAAUAGCGAAGGCAGCUCGCUGGGACGUUACUGACACUGAGGCGCGAAAGCGUGGGGAGCGAACAGG